Long non-coding RNA from Trachemys scripta elegans, 3856 nucleotides. RefSeq lists it as uncharacterized. The transcript has 2 exons. The record is from RefSeq and is a predicted model, not a curated record. Lineage: Eukaryota; Metazoa; Chordata; Testudines; Emydidae.
CUUUGGGUUACCCUCCCUGGGUCAUUUCCUACCACCUGCCCUUCUCCCUCGGCUUCCAGUCCAAUAGAAGGUGAAAAGAAAUAGAAAAGACAACCAGAUUAUUAGCCCUAACCAGGAUCAGCAUACAGGCCUAUUUCCACGGGGAGGCUUCUCCGGCACCCUUGUCAGGAGUCUUCAGGGUUGGUCUGUCCUUCUCUCCUUUUCUGAGCUGGGUUGCUCCCUUUUCAGCCCUCGCUCCAGUUGGUGCAUGCUCCACAGGACUGGAAGGGUGGGUCUACCUGGGCCCAGUACUGUCCUUUAACCCUCUCUGGCUCAGUGUGAGGUGUGUGCAUCCCAUCACACAGGUCCUUAUUGUACAUUUUAGGUUGGAGAAAGAACUGAGUAUAUUUGGUAGGGUGGGCAGCAGGUUCUGAUAAGACAUGAACCAACACUAGGUGCUAGGAAAGUUUUGAUUGUUAUAAAAAACUGGGAGGGGUUUUGUGACUGUGUCUCAGUUGGUAAAUAUAAGAGACAUUUCAACAUGUGUUAAAGUGAAGUGGCUGAGUCCUUGCUGCUGUGUGGAAUACAGUAAAGACUCUCAGUCAAAUCCUUUUCUCAUUCCAUGCCUUUAAUGUCAAGCACAUCACAUUCUGGAAAGUGAUUAGAUGUGGCCUUUACUAUUGACCUGCUGCUUCACGGCUACAUGUUAGCGUUUCACAAGCCAGUCGUGCAAACUGAAAUUCUUUUUUAAACUAUAUAUUUAAAAAGCUGUUUAAGAUCGUCCAUCAUAAACAGUAUAAUGGUAUGUUUACUUGCAGUUAUAUUAUUCAGCCACCAGAUGUCUGUGCACUGUAUAGAAUUCCAGACUGCGCAUAAGCUUUGGUAAACAUGAGCAACCAAGCUGGAAUUCAAGUUGUGUGGAAGCCUAUCUGUCUGCAGUUUUUUUUCCUUAGGAAGCACCUCCUGUUUAAAAAGGUCUAUAAUUUCAGAUAGCAUGACAUGGGGUGAAAAGUAUGCCUGUGAGAGACUAAGUAUUCAUGACUACAGAGCAAACCGAAUACAUGCAUAUGUGUUCAUCCAGGUUUUCAUAAUGACACCCAUUACUUCAGUAUCUGAGUGGUUCCCAAGAGAUGAUCAUUCAAAUCACAAUAGGAAAGUGGUCUAAUUUCCCUCCCUAUCUUUUCUUGAGAUAGUCAUGGAUAUGUAGCUUAUAUAUAUUCAUUCUUAUCUCUCUUUCUACUUUUCUUUUUUUCUCUCUCUCCCUUCUUGCCUUCCCCCCUCCUCAUCUUCUUCCUUCUCUCUUCUUUCUUGCUGAUUUUAGUUUCAGCUGUAGGAAAGCUACAUCAAAGAAAUGCCUUUGUUCUAAAGGCCAUGAGAUUUGUGGCCAAAGCCUUUUUAAUGUAUAAACACAUUUUGAAAGUAACCUGAAAGAGUUUGACCUGCCAAGACUUGAGUUCAGGGCUCUGUAUUUCUCCUGGAAAAGUUAAUGUCAUCACAAAUACCAAAAGGAGAGCAUGGAGCUGCCUUCCUGACUAGAUCUUAGAUUCAUAGAUUAAUACACCAGAAGGGACCUCUGGGAUCAUUUAGUCCGCCCCCUUGUAUACCACAGGCCAUAGGAUUCCCCUGAAUUAAUUCCUGUUUGAAAUUCCUUUGGUAUUUGCAUUGCCACUAAUUCUUACAACAACAAAUAAAAAAGAUGAGAGAUUGAAUCUCAUUUCAGUGUACUUGUAUUUGUUCAUAAUUUUAAGGCUAGACAGUACAUGUAUUUGGUCCAUGAUCUAGGAUUGCAAUCAGUUUUUGUAUUUAUUUAAAAAGUAGUUCAAUUCCCCUUAAAAGAAAAUAAUUUUGGGUAGUCAGGAAAUGGUUUGAUCUUUUAAAACAUUAAAGGGCAUUUAUUCUCUGAAAAGAGACUGUAAAAAGGAUAUCAUGGGGUUCCAGGUUUAUUGUCUUUCACUGGUUUCCAAAGUAAAUCUGCUCAAUUUACAAGCUCUAAAAAAGGUUUUUUUCAUAGCUAUGAAGAUCAUCUAGUCUGACCUCCGGAAUAACACAGGCCUCACCCAGUAAAGUCUGAAUCAGGCUCGUUAUUUCUGUCUGACUGUAGCACAUCUUUAAGAAAGGGUGAAUGGGUCAAUACUAGCAACUCUACCAAUAAAAGUCGCUCAGAAAGAGAUCUUUGAGAAGGGUUUACAGCUUGGAUUUGUGCGGGAUGCCUGCAUGCUGAUUCAGAUCCAUAGACAUCGGAAGCAGUGGAAUGGAGUGGGAUCAGCUCCUGCGUGCGCUGAUUUUCAUCCGAAUGUUGUUAGUGCUAUCCUGUUCUAUUUUGCAGGGUGUAGGUGGAUUCCAUUAUUCUCCUCACAAAGAGAAACAGAAAAGUGUGUGUGUGUUUAAAUGGCACUUGGGAGUUCACACCCAAUUUAUGGACUAUUUAGCUUGGCAUUGUCCAUAUUAAUGUUAUAUUUUUUGUAAUUCUCUCGGACUAAGAUGUGAAGUGACAUUCUUGUCUGGUUUCCAAUCUGGCAAGGUCGGGCGAGGAAACAAACGAGCUUGAAAAUUCCUUUUUGCAGAUCCCAGAGCCAGGCUUAUAUCUGAUUUCUCUCCCCUUGCUCUAGCUCACUUCCUGGGCUCCUCCAGCAGUACUCCCCUGAUCAGUAACAGCACUCAAGAAGAAAUGCCCUUGUGCAGGGGGUGUCGAGAAGGGAUGCAUGCACAACGAUGCUUGAAACCAGGGUACAGAAUUGCCCCAGCCCGCCUUUGAGAUCAGAUUACAGGGCAUGUAACUUCUUUCAUGUGACAGGUAUUCUUGAAAAUCAUAUAACUGGAAUGGCUAAUUUUCCACUUUAAUUUCAAGCCAGGAUUUUAGACAGAAGGUAGGAAACUUUGAGAGAACUUUUUAAAAGGAACAGGACUUCCCGCGGAAAGCAGAAGGGACGAGGGGAUUAGUGCCAGUUUCCCAGCAUGCCUCUUAGAAGGCAGAGAGUCUGUUCCAUUGUUGCCAGUCGUCAAGAAUGUCAGCCAGCCACUUGCUCAGCAGAGAUGCAUCCUCAGUCCAAGCAAUGUGAGCCAGAAUGGGCAAAAAUUCAUAUUUUUGCUGGUAUCGCUCCCUUUUCCAAAUACCAGACCACCACUCAAUCUGGAGCUGCACGGAGUAUAAUUUAGGGCUGAAUUUAUCCCAACAAUAUUAAUUAAAGAUGCAUCAGAAGAGAGAAAUAACAGUAAAAAUAUGAUUUUUGCCCAUAGCUCCUUCUGUUAGUGGGAAGCUGGAUGUAAUUCCUAAGAGGCUGAUGGCUAAUAUUCUUGCUCAGCAGAGUUGUUGGGAUCCACUAGGCAUAGCUACCAGGUAACUCGGGAGAGUGGAAAGCCAAAGUGUCGAUGAAACUCUUUUGCUCUGGGCCUAUCUGAAACCCCCAGACUCCAUCUUGUGAACUUUCAUCUACUUCUGUGCUAACUGCUUACAUGUUAAAGCAGAAAUGUAUUGGUCAGCGUUUCUGGUAGAUGGCUGCAGUUUCACUCACACUAGCAGAAAUAAUAAAGAUAAGGAGGAGGGAACAGAGAGAAAUAGUUAGUUUGCAGCCGCUUUCCCAUAUAUCCCCAAGGUAUUUAGUGCAAAGGGUCAAGGGAUGUACCUUGUUCUCCCUUCAAAAUGAUAAAUGUAUCUGCAAUAGAUGUCUCUUGUAUCCCCCCUCCCCAAAAUAAUAUAUGUAUCCUGUGUAACCUAUUAUCUAUCGGUCAGCAUAAUGACGUAAAAAGGAUGAGAACUGAGUUGUUUGUUACUGGUUAUAAAAAGGGCCUAUGUUGCCCAUGUAAGGUGUGUCUCUUCUGGCAUAAGUCGAGGAGCACCCUCUCAGCUGACUGACAAAUAAAGGACCUGGUACCCGUC